Molecule: ribosomal RNA, 116 nt
Filed under: Peribacillus frigoritolerans
Lineage: Bacteria; Bacillati; Bacillota; Bacilli; Caryophanales; Bacillaceae
Also listed under: 1 other name
Source: RNAcentral
UUUGGUGGCGAUAGCGAAGAGGUCACACCCGUUCCCAUUCCGAACACGGCAGUUAAGCUCUUCAGCGCCGAUGGUAGUUGGGGGUUUCCCCUUGUGAGAGUAGGACGCCGCCAAGC